ACAUUGCUGGACCUAAUCUUGAUACUUACCUUACCAAAGUAUCCGCCCGAGAACUACGAGCACAAACGCUUAAAACUCUAAGGACUUGGCGGUGCCCCAAACCCACCUAGAGGAGCCUGUUCUAUAAUCGAUAACCCACGCUACACCCCACCACUCCUUGCCCCAACAGCCUACAUACCGCCGUCUCCAGCUCACCUCUUCUGAGAGCUUAAUAGUGAGCCCAAUAGCCCCUCCCACUAAAAAGACAGGUCAAGGUAUAGCUUAUGGAGUGGCAGAAAUGGGCUACAUUUUCUAGAAUAGAGAAUCAAUUACGAAAAGGGGUGUGAAAUAACCCCUGGAAGGCGGAUUUAGCAGUAAACUGGGACAAUAAAGCCCUAUUUAAGUUGGCCCUGAGGCACGUACACACCGCCCGUCACUCCUGG
RNAcentral lists this ribosomal RNA (422 nucleotides) under Aquila nipalensis (steppe eagle). RNAcentral's name for it is "partial 12S ribosomal RNA". The stretch from base 49 to 422 matches the Rfam family "Bacterial small subunit ribosomal RNA", at positions 875 to 1406 of the family's 1533-position model. The record is from RNAcentral. Lineage: Eukaryota; Metazoa; Chordata; Aves; Accipitriformes; Accipitridae.